RNAcentral lists this unclassified non-coding RNA (300 nucleotides) under uncultured fungus. RNAcentral describes it as "sequence contains 5.8S rRNA gene, ITS2". The stretch from base 1 to 71 matches the Rfam family "5.8S ribosomal RNA", at positions 84 to 154 of the family's 154-position model. Lineage: Eukaryota; Fungi. The record is from RNAcentral.
GUGAGUCAUCGAAUCUUUGAACGCACAUUGCACUGUCUGGAACUCCGGGCAGUAUACCUGUUUGAGUAUCAGUAACAUCUCUCCCACCAAAACUCGGUCACGAGCGGCAGGAGGAUCUGAGCCGUCAUCUCGCCGUAUCUCGGUAGAGGAGCGGCUUUAAACUGAUUUGCUGGUGUGGAAGGAGCUAGCUGACAGAGUUAAUGGAUCUCUGGAUCUGUCGCUGUCUGGCAAAACUGUUUCCGUCACUGGCUACUUAAAACUCACCACACAGUGUUAUGACUGUGAUCUUGAUCUCAAAUC